UUCGCAAUGCCCGAAAGGGUGACGAAGCGACGCCGCGUGUGGGAAGAAGGCUCUAGGGUUGUAAACCACUGUCAGGAGUUAAGAAAUAUAGAGACGUUAAUAGCGUUUCUAUUUGACUAAGGCUCCAGAGGAAGUCACGGCUAACUCUGCGCCAGCAGCCGCGGUAAUACAGAGGUGGCAAGCGUUGUUCGGUAUUAUUGGGCGUAAAGAGCACGUAGGUGGUUUUGUAAGUCAGGUGUGAAAGCCUUCUGUUCAAAGGAAGAACGGCAUCUGAAACUGCAGAUCUUGAGUGUAGGAGGGGAGAGUGGAACUUCUGGUGGAGCGGUGAAAUGCGUAGAUAUCAGAAGGAACGUCGGCGGCGAAAGCGACUCUCUGGCCUAUUACUGACACUGAGGUGCGAAAGUUAGGGGAGCAAACGGGAUUAGAUACCCCGGUAGUCCUAACCGUAAACGAUGGGCACUAAGUAGAGGGGUUUU
Molecule: ribosomal RNA, 476 nt
Filed under: uncultured anaerobic ammonium-oxidizing bacterium
Lineage: Bacteria
Description: bacterial SSU rRNA
Rfam family: Bacterial small subunit ribosomal RNA
Source: RNAcentral